Molecule: ribosomal RNA, 519 nt
Filed under: Acanthosoma forficula
Lineage: Eukaryota; Metazoa; Arthropoda; Insecta; Hemiptera; Acanthosomatidae
Description: partial 16S rRNA
Rfam family: Bacterial large subunit ribosomal RNA (bases 392-519)
Source: RNAcentral
GGCUUAUUGUUUAUUUAUAUUAAGUCUUACCUGCUCAAUGAUAUUUAUAUAUUAAAUAGCCGCAGUAUAUUGACUGUGCAAAGGUAGCAUAAUCAUUUGUCUUUUAAUUGGGGACUUGUAUGAAUGGUUUGAUGAAAUAUUAACUUUCUUUAUAUAAAAUUGGAUAAUUUAAUAUUUUAGUUAAAAAGCUAAAAUAAUUUUAAGGGACGAGAAGACCCUAUAGAAUUUUAUAUUUCUAAAUUUAAUUUGUAUUUGGGUAUUCUUUUACUUUAUUUUUAGAAAUAUUUUGUUGGGGUGACAGGGAAAUUUAUUUAACUUUCUUUAUUUAAUUUUUAUUGAUUUAUAUUUUUAUGAUCCUAUUUUAAGGAUAUUAAGAUUAAAUUACCUUAGGGAUAACAGCGUAAUUUCUUUGGAGAGUUCUUAUCGAUAAAGUAGUUUGCGACCUCGAUGUUGGAUUAAAAUUAGUAUUAGGUGUAGGUGCUUAAUUAACUAGGUCUGUUCGACCUUUAAAAUUUUACA